ACACAUGCAGUCGAGCGGAUGACAGGAGCUUGCUCCUGAAUUCAGCGGCGGACGGGUGAGUAAUGCCUAGGAAUCUGCCUAGUAGUGGGGGACAACGUUUCGAAAGGAACGCUAAUACCGCAUACGUCCUACGGGAGAAAGCAGGGGACCUUCGGGCCUUGCGCUAUCAGAUGAGCCUAGGUCGGAUUAGCUAGUUGGUGAGGUAAUGGCUCACCAAGGCGACGAUCCGUAACUGGUCUGAGAGGAUGAUCAGUCACACUGGAACUGAGACACGGUCCAGACUCCUACGGGAGGCAGCAGUGGGGAAUAUUGGACAAUGGGCGAAAGCCUGAUCCAGCCAUGCCGCGUGUGUGAAGAAGGUCUUCGGAUUGUAAAGCACUUUAAGUUGGGAGGAAGGGCAUUAACCUAAUACGUUAGUGUUUUGACGUUACCGACAGAAUAAGCACCGGCUAACUCUGUGCCAGCAGCCGCGGUAAUACAGAGGGUGCAAGCGUUAAUCGGAAUUACUGGGCGUAAAGCGCGCGUAGGUGGUUUGUUAAGUUGGAUGUGAAAUCCCCGGGCUCAACCUGGGAACUGCAUUCAAAACUGACAAGCUAGAGUAUGGUAGAGGGUGGUGGAAUUUCCUGUGUAGCGGUGAAAUGCGUAGAUAUAGGAAGGAACAC
Molecule: ribosomal RNA, 662 nt
Filed under: uncultured bacterium
Lineage: Bacteria
Description: bacterial SSU rRNA
Rfam family: Bacterial small subunit ribosomal RNA
Source: RNAcentral